This 472-nucleotide ribosomal RNA is filed under the name Veillonella parvula. RNAcentral's name for it is "bacterial SSU rRNA". It matches the Rfam family "Bacterial small subunit ribosomal RNA", at positions 28 to 472 of the family's 1533-position model. The record is from RNAcentral. Lineage: Bacteria; Bacillati; Bacillota; Negativicutes; Veillonellales; Veillonellaceae.
GACGAACGCUGGCGGCGUGCUUAACACAUGCAAGUCGAACGAAGAGCGAUGGAAGCUUGCUUCUAUCAAUCUUAGUGGCGAACGGGUGAGUAACGCGUAAUCAACCUGCCCUUCAGAGGGGGACAACAGUUGGAAACGACUGCUAAUACCGCAUACGAUCUAAUCUCGGCAUCGAGGAUAGAUGAAAGGUGGCCUCUACAUGUAAGCUAUCACUGAAGGAGGGGAUUGCGUCUGAUUAGCUAGUUGGAGGGGUAACGGCCCACCAAGGCGAUGAUCAGUAGCCGGUCUGAGAGGAUGAACGGCCACAUUGGGACUGAGACACGGCCCAGACUCCUACGGGAGGCAGCAGUGGGGAAUCUUCCGCAAUGGACGAAAGUCUGACGGAGCAACGCCGCGUGAGUGAUGACGGCCUUCGGGUUGUAAAGCUCUGUUAAUCGGGACGAAAGGCCUUCUUGCGAAUAGUGAGAAAGGA